This 763-nucleotide ribosomal RNA is filed under the name uncultured Streptococcus sp. RNAcentral's name for it is "bacterial SSU rRNA". It matches the Rfam family "Bacterial small subunit ribosomal RNA", at positions 28 to 776 of the family's 1533-position model. The record is from RNAcentral. Lineage: Bacteria; Bacillati; Bacillota; Bacilli; Lactobacillales; Streptococcaceae.
GACGAACGCUGGCGGCGUGCGUAAUACAUGCAAGUAGAACGCUGAAGGAGGAGCUUGCUUCUCUGGAUGAGUUGCGAACGGGUGAGUAACGCGUAGGUAACCUGCCUGGUAGCGGGGGAUAACUAUUGGAAACGAUAGCUAAUACCGCAUAAGAGUAGAUGUUGCAUGACAUUUACUUAAAAGGUGCAAUUGCAUCACUACCAGAUGGACCUGCGUUGUAUUAGCUAGUUGGUGGGGUAACGGCUCACCAAGGCGACGAUACAUAGCCGACCUGAGAGGGUGAUCGGCCACACUGGGACUGAGACACGGCCCAGACUCCUACGGGAGGCAGCAGUAGGGAAUCUUCGGCAAUGGACGGAAGUCUGACCGAGCAACGCCGCGCGAGUGAAGAAGGUUUUCGGAUCGUAAAGCUCUGUUGUAAGAGAAGAACGAGUGUGAGAGUGGAAAGUUCACACUGUGACGGUAUCUUACCAGAAAGGGACGGCUAACUACGUGCCAGCAGCCGCGGUAAUACGUAGGUCCCGAGCGUUGUCCGGAUUUAUUGGGCGUAAAGCGAGCGCAGGCGGUUAGAUAAGUCUGAAGUUAAAGGCUGUGGCUUAACCAUAGUACGCUUUGGAAACUGUUUAACUUGAGUGCAAGAGGGGAGAGUGGAAUUCCAUGUGUAGCGGUGAAAUGCGUAGAUAUAUGGAGGAACACCGGUGGCGAAAGCGGCUCUCUGGCUUGUAACUGACGCUGAGGCUCGAAAGCGUGGGGAGCAAACAGG